UCCAGACUCCUACGGGAGGCAGCAGUGGGGAAUAUUGCACAAUGGGGGGAACCCUGAUGCAGCGACGCCGCGUGGGUGAAGGAGCGUUUCGGCGCGUAAAGCCCUAUCGGCAGGGAAGAAGGAGGACGGUACCUGACUAAGAAGCCCCGGCUAACUACGUGCCAGCAGCCGCGGUAAUACGUAGGGGGCAAGCGUUAUCCGGAUUUACUGGGUGUAAAGGGGGCGCAGACGGCAGCGCAAGCCAGGAGUGAAAGCCCGGGGCCCAACCCCGGGACUGCUCUUGGAACUGCGCGGCUGGAGUGCAGGAGGGGCAGGCGGAAUUCCUGGUGUAGCGGUGAAAUGCGUAGAUAUCAGGAGGAACACCGGUGGCGAAGGCGGCCUGCUGGACUGCGACUGACGUUGAGGCCCGAAAGUGUGGGGAGCAAACAGGAUUAGAUACCCUGGUA
RNAcentral lists this ribosomal RNA (446 nucleotides) under uncultured bacterium. RNAcentral's name for it is "partial 16S ribosomal RNA". It matches the Rfam family "Bacterial small subunit ribosomal RNA", at positions 330 to 792 of the family's 1533-position model. The record is from RNAcentral.